Molecule: small RNA, 1176 nt
Filed under: Cryptococcus neoformans H99
Lineage: Eukaryota; Fungi; Basidiomycota; Tremellomycetes; Tremellales; Cryptococcaceae
Description: Cryptococcus neoformans var. grubii H99 hypothetical RNA
Source: RNAcentral
ACCAACCAGAAAUUAUAUAUAUGAUGGGUUCUUCUUUCGGUGAUACUCUCAUCAUCUUUUCUUCUGCGGUCUGUCUCCAUCACGUUUUCAGGCAUUUUUCUUCUUCAUCUAUAGUCUCUGUCUCUGUAUAGACUUCAUGCCAAUGGUGGUCCGGUUGGUACAGUGAAUAAUGGUACAAUGAACAUGGUAAGCGAUACGGCGAACGAAGCAGCAGGCGACAUGGGGGGAAAGGAAGUGAGAUGCCUAUAAGUGCAUGAAGAAAGAACCUACCAGAAGAUAGAAAAUUAAUCAUAUCGGAAGAAGCUCCAGAAGCAGAUGAGGAAGAAGAGAUUCGACGCACGGACGAAGAUGGAACCGUCGUACGUAGAAAACAGCUGAGAGGCGUAAAAGUGAGCUGUUGUUUCAGCAUAUCGAUCGCGCAGCAGCAGCAAAAAGGAGCGCGCUCUAUAACGCUUGAGAUGGAUUGGAUUGGAUUGGACUGAACUGAAUGUAUGAUGAUGAGGGACUUAUGACGUAGACUAGCUAUACAAGAUACCCACGUCUUGGGAAUCUCAACACCUUCAUGCUUCUAUACUAUGAUGUAUCGCAUCUACACACGCGCCUGUAUGGAUCCUUAGACCCUACGUUUUUACUGGAACAUUCCGUCCCUUCGCUUCUCCACGACAACCUCCUCCCAAAAUCUCUUCAGCAACCUCCGCACAAGAUUCUGGUUCCUUCCUACAAGUAUGUUUAACAAACUCAAGACAAUGAUCGCAAUCAUCCGCAUACUCCUACGGGGAAACGACGAUAAAUACAUGGUAUCUAGACCGCCAUCGAUCCUCCUGCCCUGGCAAUAUCAUCUAAAACCCUCUCUUCCUCUUUGCCCUGCUGCAUCAGCCUCAUCCGUAAGCUGUUCAUAUCAUAUUGCUGUUGGAGCUUCCCUAGAAGCCUUUACUCGCUCUUUAGCUACAUUCUUAUCGGCUUCCCGGUCUCGAUCUGAAUCAUUCCAGCUUCCAGAAGUUCGGCAGGAGUUCUAACCCUUUCCCAAUUAGCCAUAAGUAUGCUUUCUUCUGUGAAGUUGAUCGGAAGGGCUGCUUCCCGACCGAACAUGAGAUAGGGUGGGGUGUACUCCGUAGAUACUCUAACAGUGGUUCGAUCAGCCCAGAGCGCAUAAUGCAGAUAGUACGGCCACCGACU